AAGUGCGAAGCCGGCCUCAAGAUGAGGACUCCAUAGAGGGUCGUCACAGACGAUGACGUUGAUAGGGCGCAGGUGUAAAGACGGCGACGUCAAAGCCGAGCGCUACUAAUUGCCCGAACGCUUUCGCCGC
This 130-nucleotide ribosomal RNA is filed under the name Prevotella sp. RNAcentral describes it as "partial 23S ribosomal RNA". It matches the Rfam family "Bacterial large subunit ribosomal RNA", at positions 2783 to 2925 of the family's 2925-position model. Lineage: Bacteria; Pseudomonadati; Bacteroidota; Bacteroidia; Bacteroidales; Prevotellaceae. The record is from RNAcentral.